Molecule: ribosomal RNA, 245 nt
Filed under: uncultured bacterium
Lineage: Bacteria
Description: partial 16S ribosomal RNA
Rfam family: Bacterial small subunit ribosomal RNA
Source: RNAcentral
GAUGAACGCUAGCUACAGGCUUAACACAUGCAAGUCGAGGGGCAUCAGGAAGAAAGCUUGCUUUCUUUGCUGGCGACCGGCGCACGGGUGAGUAACACGUAUCCAACCUGCCCUUUACUCGGGGACAGCCUUUCGAAAGAAAGAUUUAGACCGUACCGUAGUACGACUAAAUUAAGUAGUUACCGUUCCCGACUAGGUUUUCGGUUUACUUAAUUUUAAAAGGUUAAAGGUUACCGGUUUAAACC